Molecule: long non-coding RNA, 718 nt
Filed under: Physcomitrium patens
Lineage: Eukaryota; Viridiplantae; Streptophyta; Bryopsida; Funariales; Funariaceae
Description: long non-coding RNA (PPAT_LNC008355)
Source: RNAcentral
UAGGAUUUGGUUUAGAAUUUGGUUAGGAUUUUAUUUAGGAUUUAGGAUUUGGUUAGGAUUUGAUUUAGAGUUUAGGAUUUGGUUAGGGUUUUAUUUAGGGUUUUGGAUUUAGAUUUGGAUUUGGUUAGGAUUUGAUUUAAGAUUUAGGGUUUGGUUUAGGGUUUGGUUUAGGAUUUGAUUGAGGUUUGAUUUAAGGUUUAUUUAGGGUUUGAUUUAGGGUUUAGGAUUUUAUUAGGAUUUAAGAUUUAAUUAAUUUUGGCCUAUAGUUUGAAUGAAGUUCAAUAGGAUUUUAACUAGAAUUAAAUUAAGAUUAAAUUGAGAUGUAUUUGAGUGAUAUUUGUAUUUUUUUUAAUGUUUCUUUAAGAAUUCUUAUUGUUUGUUUGAAAUUUCUUUGAGGUUUUAUUGAAUUUGAUUAAACUUACUUAACAUUAUUAUGGUCUAAUUAGAGUAUUGUUAGUAUUCUAUUAGAAUUAGGAUUUUGUUAUUACAAUUUUCAUUCUUCCUUCCAUAGCCAAGUGUCCGUAGCAUUCUCAAGGAAGACUUCACGUAUUACGACAUCGUGAAAGGUAAUGGAAAAUAAUCUUUCUUAGUGGCUGCAUUAAAUUUUUGAAAAUCGUGACAAAUUCGAAUUUUUCUAUUUUUUUUUGGCACCAUCACAAUUAGAGAAACUGACUCACUAUUCGAUACUGGAUAAAUAAAACCAACUGCAAGAAGCUUG